CGCACGGGUGAGUAACACGUAUCCAACCUGCCGUCUACUCUUGGACAGCCUUCUGAAAGGAAGAUUAAUACAAGAUGGCAUCAUGAGUCCGCAUGUUCACAUGAUUAAAGGUAUUCCGGUAGACGAUGGGGAUGCGUUCCAUUAGAUAGUAGGCGGGGUAACGGCCCACCUAGUCUUCGAUGGAUAGGGGUUCUGAGAGGAAGGUCCCCCACACUGGUACUGAGACACGGACCAGACUCCUACGGAAGGCAGCAG
This 255-nucleotide ribosomal RNA is filed under the name uncultured bacterium. RNAcentral describes it as "partial 16S ribosomal RNA". It matches the Rfam family "Bacterial small subunit ribosomal RNA", at positions 99 to 354 of the family's 1533-position model. The record is from RNAcentral.